Molecule: long non-coding RNA, 428 nt
Filed under: Anser cygnoides (Swan goose)
Lineage: Eukaryota; Metazoa; Chordata; Aves; Anseriformes; Anatidae
Description: lncRNA (ENSACDG00005013555.1)
Source: RNAcentral
AUAUAAGAAGUUCAGGGAAUCCCUUUCCUGCUUCAAGCUUCCUGGGGGAAUACAAAGUGUGCAUGGGGGAACUGCAUUACCUGUAUUGCCAGAAGACCAGAGGGCAAAGGCCAAGUCUCCAUGCACAUUUGUUAGAGGACAUCAACAUUUUGGUAGUGCUGUUGACCCUUGUCCAAGAAAACCGCCACUCAGCCACACAUGAUCCAGUCAGACCCAGCUCAGCAGUGUGUCUCUCACCAUUCCUAGCUCUGCACCCACUACACAGCCACCACCCAAGCCCAGUUGGGUUCCAGGCCUGUCUGCCUCCGCUGGCCUUGCUCUGUCCAGGCCCUGUUCUUGACUCCAGAGGCCCUCCCAUUGAGCAGUACUAUGAUGUCAUCCUGCUGAAAAAAAGUGAUGUGCAUAUGAAUGACGAUCUACCGCUGUGA